RNAcentral lists this ribosomal RNA (398 nucleotides) under uncultured bacterium. RNAcentral's name for it is "bacterial SSU rRNA". It matches the Rfam family "Bacterial small subunit ribosomal RNA", at positions 362 to 777 of the family's 1533-position model. The record is from RNAcentral.
UAUUGCACAAUGGGGGAAACCCUGAUGCAGCGACGCCGCGUGAGUGAAGAAGUAUUUCGGUAUGUAAAGCUCUAUCAGCAGGGAAGAANNUGACGGUACCUGACCAAGAAGCCCCGGCUAACUACCAGCCAGCAGCCGCGGUAAUACGUAGGGGGCAAGCGUUAUCCGGAUUUACUGGGUGUAAAGGGAGCGUAGACGGUUGUGCAAGUCAGAAGUGAAAGCCCGGGGCUCAACUCCGGGACUGCUUUUGAAACUGUGUAACUGGAGUGCAGGAGAGGUAAGCGGAAUUCCUGGUGUAGCGGUGAAAUGCGUAGAUAUCAGGAGGAACACCAGUGGCGAAGGCGGCUUACUGGACUGUAACUGACGUUGAGGCUCGAAAGCGUGGGGAGCAAACAGGA